RNAcentral lists this ribosomal RNA (255 nucleotides) under uncultured bacterium. RNAcentral describes it as "partial 16S ribosomal RNA". It matches the Rfam family "Bacterial small subunit ribosomal RNA", at positions 524 to 776 of the family's 1533-position model. The record is from RNAcentral.
GACAGAGGGUGCAAACGUUGUUCGGAAUUACUGGGCGUAAAGGCGUGCGUAGGUGGUGAGUUAAGUCUGUCGUGAAAGCCCCGGGCCUCAACCUGGGAAUGGCGAUGGAUACUGGCUCGCUAGAGUGCGGUAGAGGAGAGUGGAAUUCCCGGUGUAGCAGUGAAAUGCGUAGAGAUCGGGAGGAACAUCAGUUGCGAAGGCGGCUCUCUGGACCAGCACUGACACUGAGGCACGAAAGCGUGGGGAGCAAACAGG